UUGCAGCCAAUUAAGCCGACUGUGCUCUUUUCCCCAUGGGGGCCCAGUGUGCAACAGCUGCAAAUAGCAGCCUCCUUGGUAGUGUAUGCAGCCUGUUGCCUGUACAGGUAGCCCUAAGGGACCUUGGAGACAACU
RNAcentral lists this small nucleolar RNA (135 nucleotides) under Cervus elaphus hippelaphus. RNAcentral describes it as "Small nucleolar RNA SNORA70". It matches the Rfam family "Small nucleolar RNA SNORA70". From Rfam's summary of the family: snoRNA U70 seems to be exclusive to mammals and is a member of the H/ACA class of snoRNA which contain H (ANANNA) and ACA box motifs. H/ACA box snoRNAs are involved in the conversion of uridines to pseudouridines (5-ribosyluracil) a constituent of structural RNAs (transfer, ribosomal, small nuclear, and small nucleolar). Lineage: Eukaryota; Metazoa; Chordata; Mammalia; Artiodactyla; Cervidae. The record is from Rfam by way of RNAcentral. RNAcentral also lists the same sequence under 1 other name.